UCAGUGGAAGAUGGAACUAGACGUAUACUCUCCCCUUUUAGCCCUCUGAUUCAAUUCUGCACAGCAUCUCAGAGAGUCUCCAGGAGGCUGUCAGAUCAAGGACCAGUUGGCCACAGUGAUGAGCAGUUUGUUGAAGAAAAUGUACUUCCAAAGUCAUAGAGCCGGGUAAAUGGCAGCACUUCAAUUAGGAUAAUCAUCGUCAUGACCAUAAUCAUAAAUGUUGCUGUCAUUUAUUGUGUACACACUGAUGACCACAUCUGGGGUGAGCACCUUACGAAACAUCUUGUUCCUUGGGUGAAGUCUUCUGAAACAUGGUCUGGUACAGCUUAAUGUCACCAAAAUCAAUCCUGUUGUCCAAGUAAUAAA
Lemur catta (Ring-tailed lemur) is the source of this 366-nucleotide long non-coding RNA. RefSeq lists it as uncharacterized. NCBI's taxonomy places the organism in Eukaryota, Metazoa, Chordata, Mammalia, Primates, Lemuridae. The record is from RefSeq and is a predicted model, not a curated record. The transcript is spliced from 3 exons.